GUGACGGUGGUCGGCGCCGCGAGCGACUCCGAGGCCUACAGCGCCUCGCUCUCGCUCUCGCAGCCGCUCUUCGACUGGGCCCGGUUCA
Molecule: transfer RNA, 88 nt
Filed under: Anaeromyxobacter sp. PSR-1
Lineage: Bacteria; Pseudomonadati; Myxococcota; Myxococcia; Myxococcales; Anaeromyxobacteraceae
Description: tRNA-Cys
Source: RNAcentral